This is a long non-coding RNA of Papaver somniferum (opium poppy), 2787 nucleotides long. RefSeq lists it as uncharacterized. Lineage: Eukaryota; Viridiplantae; Streptophyta; Magnoliopsida; Ranunculales; Papaveraceae. The transcript is spliced from 7 exons. The record is from RefSeq and is a predicted model, not a curated record.
ACCUUUUUCUUUUCCAGCGGAGAGCACUUUUCUCUUCUUCAAUCUUCAAGAAAUCUGCAGAGUACCCCAUCUUCACUAGAUUUGAGGUUUCAUCAAGAAAUCCAUCAUCUAAUGAAAACCCAUCAUCAAGAAAUCUCGAUCUACAAAUCCAUCAUCUAAAUCUAAUCAAACCCCAUCUUCAGCAGAUUUGUUCCCCUGAAAUCUAAAAAUCAAAUCAUUCAACCUCCGAUGUAAACUAGUUUAUAGGAUUAUCAAUCAUCAGGCAAUUGUGACAGAACAUGAGCAGAUAGCAUCUCACAUUGUGGGUUGGCUAAACAACUUUUUUAAAGGUUCCAGCCACAAAAUAUCUGAAGGGCAAUAUCAAGGGAAACAUGAGGAGGAGCAAGUUUGGAAUGAGCCUUCUACUAAUGCAGAGAAGAUCGGUCUUGAGUACGUCGAUGUUGAAGGUCUUAAGAAGGUUAACAAGAACAAGAAGUUGGUCAAGAAGCUUGCAAAGAAGUUCCAUGCUUUUCUAGCCUCAGAAGCUGUUAUCAAGCAGAUUCCCCGCCUUCUUGGACCUGGUCUUAACAAGGCAGGCAUGUUUUUCUACCAAGAACGACUCAAUCAUCUCCACUACAACUUAAGUGGGACGUGGAUAGUGCUACACUACAAUUUGUGGAAUGUUUAAACUUGAAGCAUCCAAGCCAUUUCAUGACUAAUAAAUAACAUGCACCACAUCUCAUUUCUAUCAAAAUAAAAGAGCCCUUUUCCAACCUGGGGACAUCAGUUCUCUACGAAAUUUGGUUGUUCAUGAUGGCUGAAGCAAUGCAACGUGGGCAACAGAAUUUGGGUUGUUUCUGUGGUCGACGUUGAGGGAUGGAUGCAGGUAUGGACAGAUAUGUGAAUGAAGAUUAGGUUUGGGGUUUCAUAUGCUGUCUGAAUUUGGUGGGUCUCGACUGAAAUUAGUGCUGAAUGAUGGUGGUCAUGUAUAGAGUUUAAACGGUGAUAAAUCUGUAUUAUGAAGUUACAUUUCGUUGCUCGAUCUGUGCUGUGGCCGGAAUUCCAUCGAGAGAACUCAGGGAAAGAAGGUUUUGCCGCUGCCUGAAAUAAGAAGAACUGAUGGGUAGGCGAUGGGUCAUUGAAAGCAGCAGAAAAAUGGGUUUUGUGGUUAAAUGAUCUGGUUCAUAAAGAUGGGUUUUGUGUGUUGUCUGGAUUGGAUUAGAUUGAGAAUUGGCAGCGAACAAAGGGAAUGGUGGUGCUUCCCAGUAUCUAACAGCUGCUUCAAUUCUUGAGAAUUCUCGGAAGAGAAAUGGCGUGGAUGGUGAUCAACUAAUCUGGGUUGUGGAUGGUGUUUACGUUGAGAAACUGAUACUUACAGCCAUGAGUUCAAUGGGUAUUCUCUAGUGGCAAAGAAAUGUUGUGUGUGUCGACUGCGAUGGAUUUUGAGAUGGAUUGUAUAUGGGUUGGUUUGAAUUGGUCUUAUGGUCAGUUGGAAGGAGCUGAGACUUGGUAACUGGAAGUGAAGUAGGAUUGUGGUUCAUCUGUUGAAGCCAAUGGUUCUGAGAUGGGAGAAAACUGAAUCUAGAUGGUGUUGGUUAAGAGCAGCAGUAGGAAUGAUGUUGGUGGUUAUCGAAUGGGAGUUGUGCCUAGUUCUGCGAAGGUCAGGGAAAUGAAGUUGCUGGAGCUUCCAAGAGUGGUUUUGGUGGUUGCUGGGUCCGUAUUAUGAGAGCCGAAUGGAGGUGGCUCGGAUAGUGGCAGUUCGAGAUAGAAAUUUGAAGCUACAACUUAGGGAAGAACUGGUGAUCAACUUCCUUGGUGAUCAACUGGAUGUGUAUGAGAAGGUUAAGCUGGGAUUUCGAAGACAAGAUGCUCAUAAAGUUCAGAACUCUGCAGGUGUGAUGACUCUUGAUAGCUCGACUGGUGGGUCUGAAUCUUUCUCCCAGCAUCAGCAGCAUUGUGCAUGGAUGGUAAGACCGAGGAAAUGGAUUAGUUGGUCAAGUUAUGCAGUCGGUGGUGAAAUCGACAGAAGCUUGGUGCUGUUACCGGAUUAAGGUCCAGCGAAUAGAGAUUGGUGAUGUGGUCAGUCUAGGUAGGAGUUGGAUUUGGACAUCGGUGGAUUGAGCCUUGGCACAACUAGGUGUUAAUUGGACUUCCUCAGCUAUGGUUAAGUUUCAAUUGAAGAAAGUGCUAUGCAUGGGUGUUGAUGUUGGUGACCUUGGUAUGGAUGACAAGCAGAUCUUCCAGAACGAUCAUCUCAGUGUCAACUUUCUAGUAUCAUUGCUGAAAAUCAAUUGGCAAAAUAUGAGGUUCUUGUACAUGAAUAUUUCCAUGGGAAAUCCAGUCCGUAUCUUCUAAGAAUUACAUUUCUAUAAUUGUAAUGGAACAGGUGAGGUUCUUGUACUUAAAGAGUACCAUGGGAAAGCCAGUCUGUAUCUCCUAAGCAUUACAAUUUAAUAAUUGUAAUGGCAAUUCCUAUAUGCUAUUCAUGUUUCGGGAAUGCCCUGCGAGUCUGUAACCAGAUAGAGCCAACGUCGAAACCUCCUAUCUCCGAGCUUGGUCCAGAUGCGCUGCUGGAGCCUAUGACAACAUAUGAGUUCUUUCAGUUACUGAGAAAGAAGAAGAUUGCUAUUGAGCCUCUUUUACUUUACCAGGUAAAGAGCAUAUUUUGAAUAUGAGAUCUGCUGAAAAUUUCAAGUGGGAUUUUGCAAGACUUCUCAGAAUGUAACAACAGAAGUUAGGGUUUUCAUAGUUUCAAAUUCAGAAACUUGUGUUUAUAACAUUUGGGAUUUUGCAGGAUUUUGCACAAGU